This 570-nucleotide ribosomal RNA is filed under the name Amazona sp. RNAcentral's name for it is "partial 16S ribosomal RNA". It matches the Rfam family "Bacterial large subunit ribosomal RNA", at positions 828 to 1895 of the family's 2925-position model. Lineage: Eukaryota; Metazoa; Chordata; Aves; Psittaciformes; Psittacidae. The record is from RNAcentral.
UCCUAACGAGCUGGGUGAUAGCUGGUUACCUGCAAAACGAAUUUAAGUUCUACCUCAGCCCCUUCCCCAAGACAAACCAAUCAAGUCCCCAUGCAAUGGGCUAAGAGCUAUUUAAAGGGGGUACAGCCCCUUUAAAAAAGGAUACAACCUCCACCAGCGGAUAACCCCACCCUAACCUAACCCCCGUGGGCCUUAAAGCAGCCACCCUUAAAGAACGCGUCAAAGCUCUACAGACUAAAAAUCUAAAAACAACGUAAAUCCCUGAACCCAUAGCAGGUCAACCUACAACAGUAGAUGAAUCAAUGCUAAAACGAGUAACCAGGACACCAAGUCCCCCAAAGCGCCAACCUAAACACCAUUAACAGCACAACCCCAAUACCAAACCCCCGACUAAACAUUGAGCACACCCUGUCAGACCAACCCAGGAGCGCACACUAGGAUGAUUAAAAUCUGCAGAAGGAACUCGGCAAACCUAAGACCCGACUGUUUACCAAAAACAUAGCCUUCAGCCGAACAAGUAUUGAAGGUGAUGCCUGCCCAGUGACACACGUUUAACGGCCGCGGUAUCCU